RNAcentral lists this small nuclear RNA (163 nucleotides) under Dasypus novemcinctus (nine-banded armadillo). Its description in RNAcentral is "U1 spliceosomal RNA (ENSDNOG00000034442.1)". It matches the Rfam family "U1 spliceosomal RNA". From Rfam's summary of the family: U1 is a small nuclear RNA (snRNA) component of the spliceosome (involved in pre-mRNA splicing). Its 5' end forms complementary base pairs with the 5' splice junction, thus defining the 5' donor site of an intron. The record is from RNAcentral. Lineage: Eukaryota; Metazoa; Chordata; Mammalia; Cingulata; Dasypodidae.
AUACUUACCUGGCAAGGGAGACACCACAGUCACAAAGGUGGUUUUCCCAGGGCAAGGCUGGUCCAUUGCACUGGGAACCUGCUGACCCCUGUGAUUUCCCCACAUGAGGGAAACCUGGCUGCAUAAUUUGUGUUGGCAGGGGCCGUGCCCACACUUUCCCCCC